This is a long non-coding RNA of Manis pentadactyla (Chinese pangolin), 1367 nucleotides long. RefSeq lists it as uncharacterized. The record is from RefSeq and is a predicted model, not a curated record. Lineage: Eukaryota; Metazoa; Chordata; Mammalia; Pholidota; Manidae. The transcript has 3 exons.
CCCUUCUGAAGACCUUCCAGAAACACUCUUCCAGUGUGUGAGGUCCCUCCUCCGCCCCACCAUGGAGCCCUAGGCCACUGCAAGUACAGCCCUUGCCACGUUUCAUUGUCAUCAUGAAUCUGACCCUCUCCCACCAGACCAUGAGCUGCCGGACAGCAGUCACCUCCACAGCCUCAGUGUCCAGCAGUCUGCUAUAUUCUAUUCUCAAAGUCUGUGUGGAUCUGUGUCUGUGUACACCAUGGCCCCAUCUCCCAGCAGCUCCCAUGGCUCGUAUCCAUGGAAACGCAGUCUUCCCCAAUGAUGGUACUCUGGCUGACAAACACCGGGAGUCUCCCCAGCCCCCUACCCAUCUUGGAGAGGCAGCGUGGACCCCGGCAGCUCCCAGCGAGCAGGAGGGUGUCACUGCUGGAGGAGUUUGCAGAUCUGCUUCCUGGAGGAGGUGAUUCUCACUGCAGACCCCGCAAGGUGCCCCCAUGACCACCCCUCCAGCUCCAGAGCCUAGGCAAUGUGGAGGCCUGCAGCAUACCUCGCUGGACACUUUGACCUUGACUCUCCUUCCUCCCUGAACAGCAGGACUGAGUGGAUUGGUGGACAGAAUGCCCAGAAUGAGAACCUACUUUGCCAUCUAAGCUCCAGGUCCCUGCUCUGUGAGGCUAUAAGGAACUCAUCCCUGAGUCCAGCCUUCUGGGGGCUGCUCCCGGGAUCCCCUGGGCAAGGAUGUUCUAUGUCCUGUGACAACUUGGCACAGCCAAACUGUUUCACGUGGCACUGGGAUCUCUCAGAAUGUUCAAUAAACCCUGAACAAAUGAAUGAGCAAACAGACGAUGGCUCACUGAAUAUCUACAACCCCUACUACAGGUACCGGCACGUAAAGGUAAAAAGACACCUUGUCUGCUGAGGGAGGCUGACAUACACACGCAACAUUACAUCUUUGGGUGAUAAAUGCAGUGCUGAAGUGGCCCAGGGUAUUGUGGGAGCACAAAUAUGGUCUAACAGGUAGACCACGAUUUCGUCUCGUCCAUCUUGAUGUGUGGUGAAGGAGGAAGCCGUCAUUUCUUGGAAGAGGUGGCAUACACUGAGUUCUGAAGGAUAAGUAAGAGUUAGCCAGGAGUUGCAGAGCUGGGAGAGUGUGCAGGGAGUAAGAAAUGCUUGUGCAAUUGCACAGAGGGGCUAGAGACAAUGAGGUCCCUAAUCUCAGUCUGUUAGUGACGUCACUGACACUCUCGGCCUUACUUCCAGGGCAUUUCCCGCUCCAGGAAGGUCCUGGACUCAGUGCACUGGAAACUCAAAGUCUCCACCUCCCCUGUAAGGACAAAGAUCAAGGGGAAGUGAUCUCUUUCCACCUGAGCUUAGCAUUUUUAAACUGG